Molecule: long non-coding RNA, 1004 nt
Organism: Rhinopithecus roxellana (golden snub-nosed monkey)
Lineage: Eukaryota; Metazoa; Chordata; Mammalia; Primates; Cercopithecidae
Exons: 4
Source: RefSeq, a predicted model, not a curated record
CCUCCCUGUGGAGGUGGCAGGUUAUCAAGACAGAAGGUGUAGAGAAGAACCUUCCAGUCAAAGGAAAAAGGCAGGUCCUGCUGUUCUCAGGAAUGGCCAUAAAUACUAUCAUCCCCAUCUUAGAGACGGGGACAGGGUCGCAAAAUUAUCAGGGCGUUUCCUGGCUCCUCAACAGCUGGAUCCAAAGUCCUCUGGAGGAUAAGCCGCCCUGCCUGGAGCCGACCUCCCCUGGAGCGCGCGGUCGCGCAGGGCGCACAGGCCUCUUGGGCCCCGGGACCGGCUCAGGCUCAGGCUCGGCGUCAGCAAAGAGACCUGCGUGGCGCCCUGGGGCGGAGGAGGCCCGAAGGCCAGUGGGCGGCCACGGCAGACGGGAAGCCGUGCACGACGAGCACGAUCUCCCUGGGGAGGAGAACAGCGAUGUCGUGUGAGCCCCGCCGCGCCCCACUGCGGACGUAGCCCAGCGCCCUCGCCGCGGGUUCCCUCCUAUCCCACCCGAGAACGGGGUCCUCACUCCCGGCUUCAGCUGAGCCCCAGGCCCUGCAACUCCUGAAGGCACGCCCCCUGCACCUGCCCAUCUCAGGCCCCGCCUCCAGCCCAGCGGCCAAGAUCGUAGGUCUCUACAAUGACUCGGAGCCACCCCGGAAGACCAUGCGCAGAGGGGUGCUGAUGACCCUGCCCCUGUGGAUUGGGAAGCCCAGUGACAAGCCCCCACCCCUCUGUGGGGCCAUCCCCGCCUUGGGACUACAUGACCAGACCUGGAGACAAGGUGGCUGCCCGGGUGAAGGCCGUGGAUGGGGACAAGCAGUGGAUCCUGGCCGAGGUGGUCAGUUACCGCCACGCCACCAACGAGUGACACCAGCCCCAGGGCUGCUCUCAGCCCCUCCUGUCCCCCUGCCCCACAGCCCCAGGAUGACUACUCUAUCCUGUUUGAAGACACCUCCUAUGCAGAAGGCUACUCCCCUCACCUCAGUGUGACCCAGAGGUACCUGGUGGCUUCCAAGGAG